UACGGAGGGUGCGAGCGUUGUCCGGAAUCAUUGGGCGUAAAGGGCGCGUAGGCGGACAGUUAAGUCGGGGGUGAAAGCCCGGGGCUCAACCUCGGAAUUGCCUUCGAUACUGGCUGUCUUGAGUACGGGAGAGGUGUGUGGAACUCCGAGUGUAGAGGUGAAAUUCGUAGAUAUUCGGAAGAACACCAGUGGCGAAGGCGACACACUGGCCCGUUACUGACGCUGAGGCGCGAAAGCGUGGGGAGCAAACAGG
Molecule: ribosomal RNA, 253 nt
Filed under: uncultured bacterium
Lineage: Bacteria
Description: partial 16S ribosomal RNA
Rfam family: Bacterial small subunit ribosomal RNA
Source: RNAcentral